RNAcentral lists this ribosomal RNA (495 nucleotides) under Triatoma sordida. Its description in RNAcentral is "eukaryotic LSU rRNA". It matches the Rfam family "Eukaryotic large subunit ribosomal RNA", at positions 427 to 730 of the family's 3401-position model. The record is from RNAcentral. Lineage: Eukaryota; Metazoa; Arthropoda; Insecta; Hemiptera; Reduviidae.
GAGAUGGCCUCUCGCCCUAUUCAGUGUAACAGCUGUGGUAGUGGGUUUGGUCGCUCGCAUUUAAAUUGGAAGGGUAAUGGUGGACCGCACUUCUCCCUUAGUAGGACGUUGCGACCUGUCAAAUAAUAUCCUAAGUAUUUGGCUAAUUUGUCUGUUUUUAGGCAGUACUGAAAGGUAUUUCCUUUAACAGUUUUAGCCGUUUACAUACUGGAUAUAAUUGACAGUAACGAAUCAUGGUGUUGAGCCACUUACUUUGUAAGUGUCCUUUAUGGCUGUUUGCAAGUGGGUUGGUUAAUUAGUUUUAGUCGGAUUUUGGUCCGUCUAACUAUUCCGCCUACUGUUGGUAAACUGUUCCUUGGACAGUGCUUAUAACACCGGUCGGCAGCGAUUCAGGUUCAGGCUCUUAUCCGACCCGUCUUGAAACACGGACCAAGGAGUUUAGCGUGUACGCAAGUCAUUGGGUGUAUAAAACCCAAAGGCGCAAUGAAAUUGAAA